GGAGGCGAAUAGUGCCUGGUGGUGCUCCUGGUCUUCAAAACCAGUGUGGGGCUCGAGAGAGUCCUGGGUGGGUUCGAUUCCCAUUCGCCUCCGCCA
Molecule: transfer RNA, 96 nt
Filed under: Candidatus Brocadiaceae bacterium
Lineage: Bacteria; Pseudomonadati; Planctomycetota; Candidatus Brocadiia; Candidatus Brocadiales; Candidatus Brocadiaceae
Description: tRNA-Sec
Rfam family: Selenocysteine transfer RNA
Source: RNAcentral